This 396-nucleotide ribosomal RNA is filed under the name uncultured bacterium. Its description in RNAcentral is "partial 16S ribosomal RNA". It matches the Rfam family "Bacterial small subunit ribosomal RNA", at positions 523 to 918 of the family's 1533-position model. The record is from RNAcentral.
AUACGUAGGGAGCGAGCGUUGUCCGGAAUUACUGGGUGUAAAGGGAGCGUAGGCGGGAGUGCAAGUCAGAUGUGAAAUACAUGGGCUCAACCCAUGGGCUGCAUUUGAAACUGCAUUUCUUGAGUGAAGUAGAGGUAAGCGGAAUUCCUGGUGUAGCGGUGAAAUGCGUAGAUAUCAGGAGGAACACCGGUGGCGAAGGCGGCUUACUGGGCUUUUACUGACGCUGAGGCUCGAAAGCGUGGGGAGCAAACAGGAUUAGAUUCCCUGGUAGUCCACGCUGUAAACGAUGAUUACUAGGUGUGGGGGGACUGACCCCUUCCGUGCCGCAGUUAACACAAUAAGUAAUCCACCUGGGGAGUACGGCCGCAAGGUUGAAACUCAAAUGAAUUGACGGGG